AGAGUUUGAUCCUGGCUCAGAUUGAACGCUGGCGGCAUGCUUUACACAUGCAAGUCGAGCGGCAGCGCGGGGGCAACCCUGGCGGCGAGCGGCGAACGGGUGAGUAAUGCAUCGGAACGUACCCUGGAGUGGGGGAUAACGCCGCGAAAGCGGCGCUAAUACCGCAUAUGCUCUGAGGAGGAAAGUGGGGGACCGCAAGGCCUCACGCUCUGGGAGCGGCCGAUGUCCGAUUAGCUAGUUGGUGGGGUAAAGGCUUACCAAGGCGACGAUCGGUAGCUGGUCUGAGAGGAUGAUCAGCCACACUGGGACUGAGACACGGCCCAGACUCCUACGGGAGGCAGCAGUGGGGAAUUUUGGACAAUGGGGGCAACCCUGAUCCAGCCAUGCCGCGUGAGUGAAGAAGGCCUUCGGGUUGUAAAGCUCCUUUUGGUCCGGAAGAAGCGCCUUGCCUAAUACGCGAGGUGGUUGACGGUACCGGCAGAAUAAGCACCGGCUAACUACGUG
This 504-nucleotide ribosomal RNA is filed under the name uncultured bacterium. RNAcentral's name for it is "bacterial SSU rRNA". It matches the Rfam family "Bacterial small subunit ribosomal RNA", at positions 8 to 507 of the family's 1533-position model. The record is from RNAcentral.